RNAcentral lists this non-coding RNA (31 nucleotides) under Mus musculus (house mouse). The record is from RNAcentral. Lineage: Eukaryota; Metazoa; Chordata; Mammalia; Rodentia; Muridae.
UUCACACCAUGGUACUUGGAGACUGGCCAUU